UGAAGCCUGAACUCGAGUAGGGCCCAAGCCAGCCAGGAAGGAGGAGGCAGCCAGAGUGUUCUCUGCAGCAGAAGAUCCCUUGCUGCCCUGCUUAACCCAGACCAGCAUUUGCCAGAGCAAUGUAGAGGGGAAGAAUGAAUGACAGAAAAAGUAAUAAGAAUGUGCAUUUACAUGGAUCUGCUGAGUCUGCAGUCAGAGUCUUCAUUCUAAAAGAUAAAGAAACACCUUAUCCAGAUGCCCAGUAUAAUCCAGAAUGGGUCAUCCAGAAUCAAAAAUUGAACUUUUCAGACACAAUCACAAACAUUUUGUUUGGUGAAAACCAAACACAGGCUUCCAAAGUAAGAACCUCAUCAAGCAUGGUGGAGGAGGCAUCAUGUUUUGGGGCUGCUUUGCUGCAUCUGGACCUGGAUGGCUUGCCAUCAUUGGUGGAACCAUAAAUUCAGCUGCAAAUCAGAAAAUUCUAGAGGACAACAUCAGACCAUCUGUCUGUGAGCUGAAGCUGAGCUAAAAGUGGGUCAUGCAGCAAAACGACCCUAAGCAUUCAAGUAAGUCUACCAUAGGGUGGCUGAAGAAGAGAUUUCAUGUUUUGGGGUGGCCAAGUCAAAAUCCCAACCACAACUCUUAUUGAAAUGUUGUGGUAAGACCUGGAGCAAGCUGUCCAUGCAAGGAAGCGCUCAAAUAUCACAGAGCUAAAACUGUUUUGUAUGGAAGAAUGCACCAAGAUUCCUCCAAGCUGAUGUGAGAAACUGAUCACCAGUUACAGAACAUGUUUAGUUGCCGUUACUGCUGCUCAAGGAGUACCGGUGCCACCAGUUAUUGAAUGAAGAGUUCACAUAUUUUUCACACAAGGAUUUUUGUUGUUGAAUAUUUCUGUUGCAUGAAUAUUCAAAAUAUAUUCUUUUUGCCUGA
Hemicordylus capensis (graceful crag lizard) is the source of this 909-nucleotide long non-coding RNA. RefSeq lists it as uncharacterized. The transcript is spliced from 3 exons. Lineage: Eukaryota; Metazoa; Chordata; Lepidosauria; Squamata; Cordylidae. The record is from RefSeq and is a predicted model, not a curated record.